UAAUAAAUACCCUCAAAGCUGAAGUC
RNAcentral lists this non-coding RNA (26 nucleotides) under Homo sapiens (human). Lineage: Eukaryota; Metazoa; Chordata; Mammalia; Primates; Hominidae. The record is from RNAcentral.